Molecule: transfer RNA, 70 nt
Filed under: Campostoma anomalum (central stoneroller)
Lineage: Eukaryota; Metazoa; Chordata; Actinopteri; Cypriniformes; Leuciscidae
Also listed under: 1 other name
Description: tRNA-Pro
Rfam family: tRNA
About the family: Transfer RNA (tRNA) molecules are approximately 80 nucleotides in length. Their secondary structure includes four short double-helical elements and three loops (D, anti-codon, and T loops).
Source: RNAcentral
CAGAAGAUAGUUAAACUUAGAAUCCUGGCUUUGGGAGUCAGGGGUGGGAGUUAAAAUCUCCCUCUUCUGG